This 253-nucleotide ribosomal RNA is filed under the name uncultured bacterium. Its description in RNAcentral is "partial 16S ribosomal RNA". It matches the Rfam family "Bacterial small subunit ribosomal RNA", at positions 524 to 776 of the family's 1533-position model. The record is from RNAcentral.
GACAGAGGCCUCGAGCGUUAGGCGGAAUCACUGGGCUUAAAGCGUGUGUAGGCGGAUGCCUAAGUACCUUGUGAAAUCCCACGGCUCAACCGUGGAACGGCUGGGUAUACUGGGCGUCUUGAGCCAGCUAGGGGCGACCGGAACAAACGGUGGAGCGGUGAAAUGCGUAGAUAUCGUUUGGAACGCCUGUGGUGAAAACGGGUCGCUGGGGCUGUGCUGACGCUGAGACACGAAAGCGUGGGGAGCAAACAGG